UGGGGAAUCUUGCACAAUGGGGGCAACCCUGAUGCAGCGACGCCGCGUGAGCGAUGAAGCCCUUCGGGGCGUAAAGCUAUUUCGACCGGAACGAUAAUGACGGUACCGGGAGAAGAAGCUGCGGCUAACUACGUGCCAGCAGCCGCGGUAAUACGUAGGCAGCAAGCGUUGUUCGGAGUUACUGGGCGUAAAGAGUGCGUGGGCGGUGUUCUAAGUUCGGUGUGAAAUCUCCCGGCUUAACUGGGAGGGUGCGCCGAAGACUGGGAAGCUGGAGUGUGGGAAAGGCGGGCGGAAUUCCGGGUGUCGCGGUGAAAUGCGUAGAUAUCAGGAGGAACACCGGCGGUGUAGACGGCUUGCGAGACCAUAACUGACGCUGAGGCACGAAAGCGUGGGUAGCAAAC
This 401-nucleotide ribosomal RNA is filed under the name uncultured bacterium. RNAcentral describes it as "bacterial SSU rRNA". It matches the Rfam family "Bacterial small subunit ribosomal RNA", at positions 355 to 773 of the family's 1533-position model. The record is from RNAcentral.